UGAGGAAUUUUGCGCAAUGGGGGAAACCCUGACGCAGCGACGCCGCGUGGAGGAGGAAGGUCCUCGGAUCGUAAACUCCUGUCAAGAGGGACGAAUGCAUCAGGAAUGAAUAAGUCUUGGUGUUGACGGUACCUCUGAAGGAAGCCCCGGCUAACUCCGUGCCAGCAGCCGCGGUAAUACGGAGGGGGCUAGCGUUGUUCGGAAUUAUUGGGCGUAAAGGGCGCGUAGGCGGCCUGGUAAGUCAGUUGUGAAAGCCCUCGGCUCAACCGAGGAAUUGCGACUGAUACUGCCGGGCUUGAGUCCCGGAGAGGGUAGCGGAAUUCCCAGUGUAGCGGUGAAAUGCGUAGAUAUUGGGAGGAACAUCGGUGGCGAAGGCGGCUACCUGGACGGGUACUGACGCUGAGGCGCGAAAGCUAGGGGAGCAAACAGGAUUAGAUACCCCCGUAGUCC
This 450-nucleotide ribosomal RNA is filed under the name uncultured prokaryote. RNAcentral describes it as "bacterial SSU rRNA". It matches the Rfam family "Bacterial small subunit ribosomal RNA", at positions 355 to 796 of the family's 1533-position model. The record is from RNAcentral.